RNAcentral lists this long non-coding RNA (255 nucleotides) under Hordeum vulgare. Its description in RNAcentral is "long non-coding RNA (HVUL_LNC015738)". The record is from RNAcentral. Lineage: Eukaryota; Viridiplantae; Streptophyta; Magnoliopsida; Poales; Poaceae.
UUUACCCUUCUGGGCUCUUUUCCCCCGGCGGCUAGUUUCAGCAUAAAAGGAAGAAGUCGGGUCCGCGCGGUUCGCCUUUUCGAAUGCAGCAGUGUUUUUGGCUUUGGCAAUACCAGCUAGCUAGCUACUUACUUGUGUGGGAGUCCUAUAAAGAAAAGCCUGAGUUAUAGACUGACUAAAGAAAUCCACCUCGGUGGAGUUCUGGGAAGGAAUGGGCUAGUAUGAGUUCUGGUUUAGUCAGUAGUUCACUUCUCC